UGUUUAUUUACACUUAAUUUUUAAAACCAGCUUGGCAAAUGUCUCCAUUACAGGGUAAUUCUUAUGUAGCCAUUUUUUUCCCCCCACAGGACUUGGAGCAUGGUCUUUGAUCUGGAAUAUUUUGGAUGGGAGACAAAGUAUUGGGAUGAAAUCUAAAAGUUUGUAUACACAGGACUUCUUCCAGUGCUCUCAGCCAAAGCCAAUACCCAGCCACGGCUAAAUCAUUCUAAUGAUGUGGGGAGAAGCAGCCAAGCAUCUCCAAAGUGCUUGUUCCCUGGGCCUUGAUGUGUUGCUGCGACAGCCGUCCUUCACCAGAUAGACACAUCCCAGGUGAUGGCAGGUGAUACCAGCCUGGCUGCAUUCCACACAGGGCCAUAGGCUCCAGCGUCCCACAUCAGCAAUGCAGUGUGUUCAGAUGACCGAGACCCAAUGACAAGCCCUGAGUGCAGUCACCCGCAUCAUUUCUGUCAUCAUCUACUGUGCCAGUGGAUCCUUAUGUUGGUCAACACGUCUGCAUAAGAAACACCUCG
Molecule: long non-coding RNA, 530 nt
Filed under: Homo sapiens (human)
Lineage: Eukaryota; Metazoa; Chordata; Mammalia; Primates; Hominidae
Description: HSALNT0395229
Source: RNAcentral